AUGGAAGAAGAUCAGGUUAAAUUAGCAGCACUCAUCGCAGAGCUAGAGGAGCCAAUAGGUCUUUGUGACUUGCCAGCAAUUGACCCUCCUAAUACUAAGAGAAAGAAGGGAAGGGCAAUAAAGAAUUUUUCUGAGUGGAUAGAGAAAGAGGCUCCAGUGAAUUGGUCUUUGCUGCAUGACACCCAUGGAUCUAGGUAUGGUCACAUGACAACCAAUCUUGCAGAUGUGUAUAACUUUGUGCUGAGAGGGAAUAGAGCAUUGCCACUCACAGCUAUUGUGGAGGCUAUAUUCCAUGGCACUUUGAGAUAUUUCAGAGAAAGGCACGAGUUAGCAAAGAAGCAUAUUGAAGAUAAUCACAACACACCUUAUUGUAGCCGUGUCAUGGAAUACAUGGCAAAGAAGCACAGUGUCAGACUCAUAGGGAAUCAAGAAAGGAGGUAUGAGGUUCAGCUUCCUACCGAUGGUUUUGGUUCUGGACAUGAGGUGAAGACACACGAGGUAAAAAUUGAAACGGAAUUUUAUCCAACGUGUGAGUGUACAUGCAACAAACCGAAGUUGUUGCACCUACCUUGCUCUCAUGUGUUGGUUGUCUGUGGCCAGAUUGAGUUGGAUGCUAUCUCCUUUGUGUCCCCAUACUAUUUAAAAGAGGCAGUCCUCAACACAUGGACAGGUGAGAUGACAGGGUUUACAGUUGUCGGCAAUUUCAACAAGGUAAACGACGGUGAGAGAGUAUACAUCCCGCAUCCAGACCUUUGGCAAACAAGUAGGGGCAGAUGA
RNAcentral lists this ribosomal RNA (777 nucleotides) under Triticum aestivum (bread wheat). RNAcentral describes it as "partial small subunit ribosomal RNA". Lineage: Eukaryota; Viridiplantae; Streptophyta; Magnoliopsida; Poales; Poaceae. The record is from RNAcentral.